RNAcentral lists this ribosomal RNA (438 nucleotides) under Triticum aestivum (bread wheat). Its description in RNAcentral is "partial small subunit ribosomal RNA". Lineage: Eukaryota; Viridiplantae; Streptophyta; Magnoliopsida; Poales; Poaceae. The record is from RNAcentral.
AUGACUAGGGAUAACCUUAGGAAGAGACACAUCAUCAAACCCCUUGAUUGUGUUUACUGCUUGGAACAAGAGUCUUGUUCUCACCUAUUUUUUGAAUGUAUAGUUGCUAAACAUCUCUAGGCCCACAUUGAGGAAUAUUACUCUAGUCAGAUUGGCUCAUCCUUCGAAUCUGUUGCCAGAUUCUGGAUUGCUACCAAAAAGUGCUCAGUUUUAAACACUGUUAGCCCAGCUGUCCUUUGGUGCCUCUGGAAAUAUAGAAAUGUUAUGAUUUUCAGUAACACCUCCUGGAUUUCCAUUCCGCAGGUCUUGAGGUUGAUCAGGAACAUGGUGAGGAACUAGGCGAUUCUCUCCUCCGGAUCGGACAAGGACAAGUUGAUGAGCUUCGUGGAAACCCUAACAAGAUCCCUCCAGAAACCGUUGGUGAUCACUUGUGGCUGA